GUGCAGUGAAGGAGAUGAACAUGAGACUAAGUCCCCCACAGGGCUGGUAGCUGGUGACAGCAGGUGAGCCUGUGGAUGAGCUCACCAUGAACUGGUGCCUGGCUGCCACAAUGGACUGGACAAAUUGUUCAGACGAGACUGAGAUUCUAUUGGUGGGUGAUUCUUCUGACUGGAUGGAGGGACUCCAACCUGUCCUGGGAGAGCCACAUCCCUCUUGAAGGAGCAGCAAUUACGAAUGUCAUCAUUAGAAUAUUAAUUUGACAAACAAAACAGCUAGCUUUGCCCUAAGCAGAUGCUGGGAAUCUGCUCUCCUGGGACACGUAAAGUUGAUGUACCCUGCAACUCAGUGAUUGAAAUGAAAGAGCUGCCUACCCUUGAGUUACACUCCGGGAAUGCAUGGUCUACCCAAGAGGCAUUUGCAUUCAUUUCCUGAUGGGAUAUGCCCCUUCAAGGAAGAAGGAGCAUGUUUCUCACCAGGGUUCUUCCUUCCUGAAGCAAACAUGAAGGACAUCUCC
Long non-coding RNA from Varanus komodoensis (Komodo dragon), 515 nucleotides. RefSeq lists it as uncharacterized. Lineage: Eukaryota; Metazoa; Chordata; Lepidosauria; Squamata; Varanidae. The transcript is spliced from 4 exons. The record is from RefSeq and is a predicted model, not a curated record.